CCUACGGGGGGCUGCAGUGAGGAAUAUUGGUCAAUGGGCGGAAGCCUGAACCAGCCAAGUCGCGUGCAGGAUGACGGCCCUACGGGUUGUAAACUGCUUUUAUACGGGAAUAACGCGCCUUACGUGUAGGGCUUUGCAUGUACCGUAUGAAUAAGGACCGGCUAAUUCCGUGCCAGCAGCCGCGGUAAUACGGAGGGUCCGGGCGUUAUCCGGAUUUAUUGGGUUUAAAGGGAGCGUAGGCCGCAUGUCAAGCGUGCUGUGAAAUGUCCGGGCUCAACUCGGGCCUUGCAGCGCGAACUGGCGGGCUUGAGUCCACGGGAAGCAGGCGGAAUGCGUCGUGUAGCGGUGAAAUGCUUAGAUAUGACGAAGAACCCCGAGUGCGAAGGCAGCUUGCUGCAGCGGAACUGACGCUGAUGCUCGAAAGCGCGGGGAGCGAACAGGAUUAGAUACCCCAGUAGUC
RNAcentral lists this ribosomal RNA (460 nucleotides) under uncultured bacterium. Its description in RNAcentral is "partial 16S ribosomal RNA". It matches the Rfam family "Bacterial small subunit ribosomal RNA", at positions 338 to 795 of the family's 1533-position model. The record is from RNAcentral.